Molecule: long non-coding RNA, 707 nt
Filed under: Medicago truncatula (barrel medic)
Lineage: Eukaryota; Viridiplantae; Streptophyta; Magnoliopsida; Fabales; Fabaceae
Description: lncRNA gene7250
Source: RNAcentral
CUACCUCACCAACUAACACAGUUUUUUCAUAAAAAUUAAAAUUUAAAAACUUUUAAAAGAACAAAUAAUCGAAUAGAUUCCAUAUUCGGGAUUAAUCAAAUAGGGAAAAAAAUAGAUCAGUGCAAUGUUGUUAGAAUCUAGAUGCGUGAAAAUAGCAGAAUAUAUCGUCAGUCCAACCUCCAAGUAUUAUGUCUCGACUUAUCACAUAUAUCAGUAUGUGUGAUUGAGUGGGUAGAGAUGCAUGUGAAAGUAGGGAGCUGAAUGUGUCACUAUAAAUAUAGAGAAUGAGCAUUUCUCGAUUACAAUUGGUCCCGGGUUUGCCAAGAGAAGCUGUCAAAACGUCACAAACAUGAAUAAUAUUUUAGUACAAGUUGAAGCAGUGUUAUAAAUUAUAAUAAUAUCAUCAUAGAUGGAUUUCUUGGCACACAAGAAAUUAUUUCACUGCUUGAUUGAAUUAAGCUAUGCCAUUACAAGCAUGUGGUUGUACAUUUAAUUGAAUGGAUAACUUCAAAAUCAUUUUGAAUUUUGUUAAUUUCAGAGAUCAAACAUUGGAACUGUUUACCAUUUGUUUCCAAUUUUAAGAAGAGUUCUUAUAGUAAUGACUAAUGAUGUAGAAAAAUAAAAAUAAAUGUUAGAAUUUUGUAAAUGUUAACUACCUGGAUAUCUCUUUUCUUGAGGCUCUUAAGUAAAUCUUCAAAGGAAUGGAU